This 148-nucleotide non-coding RNA is filed under the name Protocruzia adhaerens. Lineage: Eukaryota; Ciliophora; Spirotrichea. The record is from RNAcentral.
UUUCGGUGCCCUUGUUCCCGCUUUGUCGCGAGGAGUCAAUUAUCAAUUGAACAAAGAUGUGUAUGAAAUUAAUCAUUCUAAGGAAGGUGUUGAAGUCAAAACCAAGGAUGGUGAUGUGUUUUCCGCCUAUAAAGUGUUGAUCUCCGUC